This 228-nucleotide long non-coding RNA is filed under the name Homo sapiens (human). RNAcentral describes it as "HSALNT0072051". Lineage: Eukaryota; Metazoa; Chordata; Mammalia; Primates; Hominidae. The record is from RNAcentral.
AUAAAUUCCAUGCUUAUAAAAAAGGGAUAAUAAAAGUGCUAUUUUAAGAGGGUUUCAUGAAGAUUAAGAAUGUUGCGAGCCCUGUGUGAGGAUGGGCUUAUUUAAAAAUAUUAAGCAUCAGCAACAACUGCCCAGACACGGAAGACACAUGUUAACUACAUCAGUUAUCCCUCCACCUUUCCCCAGCUACAGAUGGGAAGUAGAUACUUAUCUUGUUUAAGCCACAUA